UCAGGAGGAGCAGCCGGAGGAACGCCACCCCUCCAGCAAGUGGCGUGGGAUGCGCGUGUCAAAUUUGAAGUAGACUACAGGCGGAGAGGGUAUAGGACUGCACGCGUCGGUAGAUAGCAGUGGGACUAGAGCACAUACCGGGCCCGGUACCAAAGGAUACACCCACCACGUAAAUUAAUUUUCAUUGUUGCCUGUCGGUUGGGUUGUGGAACGUAUAAUUCCGCUUUCAUGACGUUCCUAAUCUUUGGUAUGGAAUUGCAUCACAUGUCAAGGUUGGUUUCAAAACAUCAGGAUUCGAAAAAGUUGCAAUGAAGGACGUGUGUUUCCAGUGUUAUCACACAAAAUGCCCAGAGGUGGCCAUAUUUUAUGAUCUUAAUGGUGAUCUGAACAAGAAUCUGCUGGUGCCAGGCCCAUUCCAGAAAUGCACCUCCACUCCCUAUCCUCCAUCUGGGAAGUGCACCAUGUGUCUCCAGGAUGAUUAUUCUUAUGCUUUGUGCAGAAAUGUGUCAGAGAGCCUCCAGCCUGCCCUGGAGGCCAACAGCACAGCCGUUACCAACUAUAAACACACCAAUUGCUCUGUCGUUGGCAUCACGUCAACUACUAUGAAUGGUCCAGACUUCACUGGAGAUGCUGCUCAAUAUGGACAUCCUGGGGGUGAACUGUGGUGGUGUUUACUGAUCCUUGUCCUGGUCGUCAUUUGCAUUUGCAUUGGCAUUGCUUACUGGUGUAUCAAGAAGCGCAAAAUAAAUAGAAACCAUGUUGUAUAAGGGAGAAAGUGACAGGGACAGCGCUCAGGACUACCCGUCCCUUAACCAAGCUGUUUGGACCAAACCACCAGAGACAGGGACAACCCUCAGGACUACCCAUCCCUUAACCAAGCUGUUUGGACCCAACCACCAGAGACAGGGACAACCCUCAGGACUACCCAUCCCUUAACCAAGCUGUUUGGACCAAACCACCAGAGACACGGACAACCCUCAGGACUACCCAUCCCUUAACCAAGCUGUUUGGACCAAACCACCAGAGACAGGGACAACCCUCAGGACUACCCGUCCCUUAACCAAGCUGUUUGGACCAAACCACCAGAGACACGGACAACCCUCAGGACUACCCAUCCCUUAACCAAGCUGUUUGGACCAAACCACCAGAGACAGGGACAGCACUCAGGACUACCCAUCCCUUAACCAAGCUGUUUGGACCAAACCACCAGAGACACGGACAACCCUCAGGACUACCCAUCCCUUAACCAAGCUGUUUGGACCAAACCACCAGAGACACGGACAACCCUCAGGACUACCCAUCCCUUAACCAAGCUGUUUGGAUCAAACCACCAGAGACAGGGACAACCCUCAGGACUACCCGUCCCUUAACCAAGCUGUUUGGACCAAACCACCAGAGACACGGACAACCCUCAGGACUACUCGUCCCUUAACCAAGCUGUUUGGACCCAACCACCAGAGACAGGGACAACCCUCAGGACUACCCAUCCCUUAACCAAGCUGUUUGGACCAAACCACCAGAGACAGGGACAACCCUCAGGACUACUCGUCCCUUAACCAAGCUGUUUGGACCCAACCACCAGAGACAGGGACAACCCUCAGGACUACCCAUCCCUUAACCAAGCUGUUUGGACCAAACCACCAGAGACAGGGACAACCCUCAGGACUACCCAUCCAUUAACCAAGCUGUUUGGACCAAACCACCAGAGACAGGGACAACCCUCAGGACUACCCAUCCCUUAACCAAGCUGUUUGGACCCAACCACCAGAGACAGAGACAACCCUCAGGACUACCCAUCCCUUAACCAAGCUGUUUGGACCAAACCACCAGAGACAGGGACAACCCUCAGGACUACCCAUCCCUUAAACAAGCUGUUUGGACCCAACCACCAGAGACAGGGACAACCCUCAGGACUACCCAUCCCUUAACCAAGCUGUUUGGACCAAACCACCAGAGACACGGACAACCCUCAGGACUACCCAUCCCUUAACCAUGCUGUUUGGAUCAAACCACCAGAGACACGGACAACCCUCAGGACUACUCGUCCCUUAACCAAGCUGUUUGGACCCAACCACCAGAGACAGGGACAACCCUCAGGACUACUCGUCCCUUAACCAAGCUGUUUGGACCCAACCACCAGAGACAGGGACAACCCUCAGGACUACCCAUCCCUUAACCAAGCUGAUUGGACCAAACCACCAGAGACACGGACAACCCUCAGGACUACCCAUCCCUUAACCAAGCUGUUUGGACCCAACCACCAGAGACAUGGACAACCCUCAGGACUACCCAUCCCUUAACCAAGCUGUUUGGACCAAACCACCAGAGACAGGGACAACCCUCAGGACUACCCAUCCCUUAACCAAGCUGUUUGGACCAAACCACCAGAGACAUGGACAACCCUCAGGACUACCCAUCCCUUAACCAAGCUGUUUGGACCCAACCACCAGAGACAGGGACAACCCUCAGGACUACCCAUCCCUUAACCAAGCUGUUUGGACCAAACCACCAGAGACAUGGACAACCCUCAGGACUACCCAUCCCUUAACCAAGCUGUUUGGACCCAACCACCAGAGACAGGGACAACCCUCAGGACUACCCAUCCCUUAACCAAGCUGUUUGGACCAAACCACCAGAGACAGGGACAACCCUCAGGACUACCCAAACCCCCAGAUCAGGAUGCUGCUGGAUUGUCUCUGCCUUCAUUCCAUCUCUUUAACUCUUCUUACAGUUGUAAUCUUUUUAUAAAUAAAAAUCAAAUCAAAUCAAAUUUUAUUUGUCACAUACACAUGGUUAGCAGAUGUUAAUGCGAGUGUAGCGAAAUGCUUGUGCUUCUAGUUCCGACAAUGCAGUAAUAACCAACAAGUAAUCUAACUAACAAUUCCAAAACUACUGUCUUAUACACACAAGUGUAAGGGGAUAAAGAAUAUGUACAUAAAGAUAUAUGAAUGAGUGAUGGUACAGAGCGGCAUAGGCAAGAUACAGUAGAUGGUAUUGAGUGCAGUAUAUACAUAUGAGAUGAGUAUGUAAACAAAGUGGCAUAGUUAAGGUGGCUAGUGAUACAUGUAUUACAUAAAGAUGCAGUAGAUGAUAUAGAGUACAGUAUAUACGUAUAUAUAUGAGAUGAAUAAUGUAGGGUAUGUAAACAUUUUAUUAGGUAGCAUUGUUUAAAGUGGCUAGUGAUAUAUUUUACAUAAUUUCCCAUCAAUUCCCAUUAUUAAAGUGGCUGGAGUUGAGUCAGUGUGUUGGCAGCAGCCACUCAAUGUUAGUGGUGGCUGUUUAACAGUCUGAUGGCCUUGAGAUAGAAGCUGUUUUUCAGUCUCUCGGUCCCAGCUUUGAUGCACCUGUACUGACCUCGCCUUCUGGAUGAUAGCUGGGUGAACAGGCAGUGGCUCGGGUGGUUGUUGUCCUUGAUGAUCUUUAUGGCCUUCCUGUAACAUCGGGUGGUGUAGGUGUCCUGGAGGGCAGGUAGUUUGCCCCCGGUGAUGCGUUGUGCAGACAUUUACAUUUACAUUUAAGUCAUUUAGCAGACCUCACUACCCUCUGGAGAGCCUUACGGUUGUGGGCGGAGCAGUUUCCGUACCAGGCGGUGAUACAGCCCGACAGGAUGCUCUCGAUUGUGCAUCUUAUACAUUUUCAUAUUCAGAUUCUUGUAUAACAGUACCUGUAAACCAAUGCCUUGCAUAAUUUUCACUCUAAUUGUACUAACAUCAGCUGGCUGAAGCGAAGUCUUAGGAGUGCUGAUGGGAAUAAAUCAGGUUUAGGAAAAUGUCAUGCCACGCAAAGAAAAUUGUCUAAUUCACUACGUACUCUACCGUGGGUAUCACAAGUAUUCUGGAUAUGCUUGACAUCGGCAAAGACUGGGGAGUUGUUCAGGAUAAAAAUAAAUAGGAUGUAGCUAAGCCCAGGCAAAAUCCUAGUGUAAAACAUGCUUCAGUCUGCUUUACAUCAGACACUAGGAGAGGAAUUCACCCUUCAAUAACCUAUAACACAAGGCCAAAUCGACUUUGCAGUUGCUUACCAAGAAGACUGAAUGUUCCUGAGUGGCCAAGAUACAGUUUUGAUUUCAAUCUGCUUGAAAAUGUAGUGCACGACUGAAUAAUUGCUGUCUAGCCAUGAUCCCCAACACCUUCACAGAGCUUGAAGAAUUUUGAAAAGAAUGAUGGGGAAAAUAUUGCACAUGUACCGAAGAAGACUAACAGCUGUAAUCCCUACCAAAGGUGUUUCUAACAUGUAUUGGCUCAGGUGAAUACUUAUGUAAUCAAGGUAUAUUAGUGUUUUAUAUUUUUUAUAAAUAUUUUAUUUAAAAAAUAUAUAUAUAUUUUGGGAUGACAGAGUAUUUUGUGUGGAUCAUUGACAAAAAAAUGACAAUGAAAUGAAUUUGAAUCCCAUAUUAUGUCAAUAAAUCCAAGGGAGUUGAAUGAUAGUGUAUUAUUAUAGUACUCUACUAAAGUGUUGGAGAUGCAGUGUGUC
Oncorhynchus keta (chum salmon) is the source of this 4473-nucleotide long non-coding RNA. RefSeq lists it as uncharacterized. NCBI's taxonomy places the organism in Eukaryota, Metazoa, Chordata, Actinopteri, Salmoniformes, Salmonidae. The record is from RefSeq and is a predicted model, not a curated record. The transcript has 7 exons.